Tribolium castaneum (red flour beetle) is the source of this 284-nucleotide RNA transcript. RefSeq lists it as uncharacterized. NCBI's taxonomy places the organism in Eukaryota, Metazoa, Arthropoda, Insecta, Coleoptera, Tenebrionidae. The record is from RefSeq and is a predicted model, not a curated record. The transcript is spliced from 2 exons.
AAGCUGAGAAAAAAAAUCAUGAUUAUGCGAAUUUUGGGGCAGAUUUGGGACAAGUGACUUUGCAAAACGAAGCUUCCUAUCUUGAUGACGCCUUGGACAUGCAGAACACAUCUUAUUCGGACGAUUCAGCAGGUAAAAGUUUGGUUCCAAAACAGGCGAAUGAAAUGGAAGAGGACAAAAGGAGGUGAUCCGAAUACUUUCAGGGGAAAACCUAAACGAAGAAUGUGACAAAAUUGUUUGACCAGUUUUUUACGCCCAAUAAAUAUGCAGUUUUUAAAGUGAAA